GCGUGCCUAAUACAUGCAAGUCGAGCGAACAGAUGAGGAGCUUGCUCCUCUGACGUUAGCGGCGGACGGGUGAGUAACACGUGGAUAACCUACCUAUAAGACUGGGAUAACUUCGGGAAACCGGAGCUAAUACCGGAUAAUAUAUUGAACCGCAUGGUUCAAUAGUGAAAGACGGUUUUGCUGUCACUUAUAGAUGGAUCCGCGCCGCAUUAGCUAGUUGGUAAGGUAACGGCUUACCAAGGCAACGAUGCGUAGCCGACCUGAGAGGGUGAUCGGCCACACUGGAACUGAGACACGGUCCAGACUCCUACGGGAGGCAGCAGUAGGGAAUCUUCCGCAAUGGGCGAAAGCCUGACGGAGCAACGCCGCGUGAGUGAUGAAGGUCUUCGGAUCGUAAAACUCUGUUAUUAGGGAAGAACAAAUGUGUAAGUAACUAUGCACGUCUUGACGGUACCUAAUCAGAAAGCCAUGGCUAACUACGUGCCAGCAGCCGCGGUAAUACGUAGGUGGCAAGCGUUAUCCGGAAUUAUUGGGCGUAAAGCGCGCGUAGGCGGUUUUUUAAGUCUGAUGUGAAAGCCCACGGCUCAACCGUGGAGGGUCAUUGGAAACUGGAAAACUUGAGUGCAGAAGAGGAAAGUGGAAUUCCAUGUGUAGCGGUGAAAUGCGCAGAGAUAUGGAGGAACACCAGUGGCGAAGGCGACUUUCUGGUCUGUAACUGACGCUGAUGUGCGAAAG
This 735-nucleotide ribosomal RNA is filed under the name uncultured Staphylococcus sp. RNAcentral describes it as "bacterial SSU rRNA". It matches the Rfam family "Bacterial small subunit ribosomal RNA", at positions 42 to 759 of the family's 1533-position model. The record is from RNAcentral. Lineage: Bacteria; Bacillati; Bacillota; Bacilli; Caryophanales; Staphylococcaceae.